UUGAACGCUGGCGGCAUGCCUUACACAUGCAAGUCGAACGGUAGAGGGGCAACCCUUGAGAGUGGCGAACGGGUGAGUAAUAUAUCGGAACGUGCCCAGUCGUGGGGGAUAACGCAGCGAAAGCUGCGCUAAUACCGCAUACGAUCUAUGGAUGAAAGCGGGGGAUCGCAAGACCUCGCGCGAUUGGAGCGGCCGAUAUCAGAUUAGGUAGUUGGUGGGGUAAAAGGCCCAC
This 232-nucleotide ribosomal RNA is filed under the name uncultured bacterium. RNAcentral's name for it is "partial 16S ribosomal RNA". It matches the Rfam family "Bacterial small subunit ribosomal RNA", at positions 30 to 268 of the family's 1533-position model. The record is from RNAcentral.